CUGCCGGCUAUCUUCCGAGUUGCUGUUCCUAAAGCACUUCUUUUGUGCCAUGGAACGGUAUACCGGGGCAAUGAGCGGCCCAAAGGGUUUAAAAGGGAAACCUUUAAGCCUCCCUGAUGGAAAGGAAGCAAAGAAUUUUUUGU
This 143-nucleotide non-coding RNA is filed under the name Desulforamulus ruminis. RNAcentral describes it as "Desulfotomaculum ruminis MoCo sequence". It matches the Rfam family "Molybdenum/Tungsten riboswitch aptamer (Moco RNA motif)". The record is from RNAcentral. Lineage: Bacteria; Bacillati; Bacillota; Clostridia; Eubacteriales; Peptococcaceae. RNAcentral also lists the same sequence under 1 other name.